AUACUUACCUGGACGGGGUCUAUGAGCGAUCAUGAAGGCUCAUGGCCUAGGUAGGUGGCCUCCAUUGCACUUGAGGAGGGGUGCCAACCUAACAUCUUCCCAAAGUGGAAGAGUGUACGUCAUAAUUUGUGUUAGUGGGGGUCUGCGUUCGCGCAACCCCUA
Molecule: small nuclear RNA, 162 nt
Organism: Beta vulgaris subsp. vulgaris (sugar beet)
Lineage: Eukaryota; Viridiplantae; Streptophyta; Magnoliopsida; Caryophyllales; Amaranthaceae
Product: U1 spliceosomal RNA
Exons: 1
Source: RefSeq, a predicted model, not a curated record